This 1337-nucleotide ribosomal RNA is filed under the name uncultured bacterium. RNAcentral's name for it is "16S ribosomal RNA". It matches the Rfam family "Bacterial small subunit ribosomal RNA", at positions 91 to 1429 of the family's 1533-position model. The record is from RNAcentral.
ACGAGUGGCGAACGGGUGCGUAACACGUAUGUAACCUACCCUUAACUGGGGUAUAGCUCCGAGAAAUCGGAAUUAAUCCCCCAUAACUUUUCGAAAAGGCAUCUUUUUGAAAAUAAAGCUUCGGCGGUUAGGGAUGGACAUGCGGCCCAUUAGCUAGUUGGUGAUGGUAACGGCUCACCAAGGCUACGAUGGGUAGCUGGUCUGAGAGGAUGAUCAGCCACACUGGCACUGAGAUACGGGCCAGACUCCUACGGGAGGCAGCAGUAGGGAAUAUUGGGCAAUGGGCGAAAGCCUGACCCAGCCAUGCCGCGUGCAGGAUUGAAUGCUCUAUGAGUUGUAAACUGCUUUUAUUCGGGACGAACAAGUUCUAUUCUUAGAGCUCUGACGGUACCGAAAGAAUAAGGACCGGCUAACUCCGUGCCAGCAGCCGCGGUAAUACGGAGGGUCCAAGCGUUAUCCGGAUUUACUGGGUUUAAAGGGUGCGUAGGUGGCUUGAUAAGUCAGUGGUGAAAUCUGCGGCUUAACCGCAGAACUGCCAUUGAAACUAUCAGGCUUGAGUGUAGUUGAGGCGGGUGGAAUGUAUCAUGUAGCGGUGAAAUGCUUAGAGAUGAUACAGAACACCGAUUGAGAAGUCAGCUCGCUAAACUAUAACUGACACUAAGGCACGAAAGCGUGGGUAUCGAACAGGAUUAGAUACCCUGGUAGUCCACGCCCUAAACCAUGAACACUAGACGUGUGCCGCUUAGCGGUACGUGUCCGAGCGAAAGCGUUAAGUGUUCCACCUGGGGAGUACGGUCGCAAGAUUAAAACUCAAAGGAAUUGACGGGGGCCCGCACAAGCGGAGGAGUAUGUGGUUUAAUUCGAUGAUACGCGAGGAACCUUACCUGGGCUAGAAUGCGCGUGACGUUCCGCGAAAGCGGAAUUCUCUUCGGAGCACAAAGCAAGGUGCUGCAUGGCUGUCGUCAGCUCGUGCCGUGAGGUGUUAGGUUAAGUCCUUCAACGAGCGCAACCCCUAUUCUUAGUUGCUAACAGGUAACGCUGAGCACUCUAAGAAAACUGCCUGCGUAAGCAGUGAGGAGGGAGGGGAUGACGUCAAGUCCGCAUGGCCUUUAUGUCCAGGGCUACACACAUACUACAAUGGUUAAUACAGAGCGUAGCCACGUGGUGACACGGAGCUAAUCGCUAAAAUUAACCUCAGUUCGGAUUGGAGUCUGCAACUCGACUCCAUGAAGUUGGAUUCGCUAGUAAUCGCUCAUCAGCUACGGAGCGGUGAAUACGUUCCCGGGCCUUGUACACACCGCCCGUCAAGCCAUGGGAGUCAGAAGUACCUGAAGUCG